UACGAAAGGUCCAAGCGUUACUCGGAAUUACUGGGCGUAAAGCGCGCGUAGGCGGCUUUGUAUGUCGAUUGUGAAAGCCCCGGGCUCAACCUGGGAACUGCAGUCGAAACUGCAAGCUUGAAUGUUGGAGAGGUUGGGGGAAUACCGUAGUGGAGAAGUGAAAUUCGUAAGAGAUUAGGUGGAACACCAGAGGCGAAGGCGCCUGGACUGGCCAAACAUUGACGCUGAGGCGCGAAAGCGUGGGUAGCAAACAGG
Molecule: ribosomal RNA, 255 nt
Filed under: uncultured bacterium
Lineage: Bacteria
Description: partial 16S ribosomal RNA
Rfam family: Bacterial small subunit ribosomal RNA
Source: RNAcentral